UAAUACUUGUUACUGUUUUCUAACUUUUUAACCAUUCCUUAGGUAGGGAGAUGUGAAUGCAGUCAGUAAAAUAUCCCAGUGCUGGUAAGUGCUUGUUGAGCAAAGCAAAUGGACAUUUCAUAUGUAUUCCCAUAUCCAGAUUCAGGUUUAAACUGUGAUUUGAAAGUACCAUUCAGCACUCUUGUAAAAAAGUUCAGGCUUCCUAACUUAUUUUUGCUGGAAUUGUUUUCUAAGAUUCCUAAGAUUUUUCUGAUUUUUUUGCUUUUGACUUUUGUUUUUUCUUAAUCUACAAAAUGGGGAAUGUGAUACUUAAAUUCCACAAGGAGGUGUUGUUAGAAUUAAUAUUUGUACUCUUUGAAGAUCUAAGUACUGUACGAAGGAAUUGUCCCAACAUUUCUAGCUCCUAUUAACAAGAGGCAGAAGAAAUCUGCAUAUUUGUGCAUGCCUACUUAGUAUAUAAGGAGCAGGUUUGGGUUUGAAAUAAUGUUGGAAAUUGUCUGAAACUUUCCAAGCUGCCAGUGACAAGUGUCAUGUUACACUAAGAUGGCUGCCUCUGAAUUUCACUGCAAAAACUAUACUGUUUGGGCUUUUUUCCCUUGGAUUUCGGAUCACUGGAGGAAUGGUGCUUUUUUCUGUGCUGGAGAGCAGAAUCUCUUCUGUGAUCAUUCUCAAGGAGAGAUCCCCUGACUUCUGAAUUUCUUCGGCCAUAAAGUCCUGUUUGCAACAAAGCAGCUUUUAAGAUCAUGAGUUAAAAGUUUUCUUUUGCAAGUAGUUGGCCUUGUCACUUAUGUAUUUCCUGGGUUUUUUUCUUUUUUUUGCAUAUAUUGAAUGCUCUGACAUAGAAGUGAGAUUAAUGUUAUAUUUAGAAAAGCAGUAACUACAGUUUCCAUUAUUUCUCUCUGCUUGACAUGUGGUUCAGAUUUGCUUCCAAAGGCCAAAAGAAAAGAUUGGUAUAAACAAAACUGAGUUGUUUUUAUUUAUUAGCUGCAGCAUGUGGCAAACCAUGCACUGAGGCUUCUGUUGUUUGCAAGUUGAAAUAUUUUUUUUGAAAAUGAGAAAGCUGUACAGUUUCAAGUUUAUUUUUCAGUUCUUCAGGAAGUAGAUUUUAAAGCUUGAACUCAAAGUGCUGUUAAAUGUGGUAUAUUUUUUUUCCCUGACAGAUUUAAAAUUUUGUAACCUUUGUUUUAUUUAUGUAUCAUACUAAAUCCUUAAUAAAUACAAGUAUUGAAGAAGUUGUGGUUGUGGUGAAGUUGUGGUGCUUGCAAAUAAUUCUUCAUUAAAAUAGACAUGGAUAUGCUUCUAGUAGUAAUAAACUUAUAUAUAGGUAUAGAAAAGUGAUCUUUACAGGGAUCUGGAAAUGCAGAAGUGAGGAAAUAGGAAGGAAGGACAGGCUGAGCUGUUUUAAGUGUUGCACUUGGUGUUAUGAAAGGUGCCUUGCCAGCCUUGUGCCUCCUGCCAGGCUGGGAGCUGCCCUGAGCAUUGCUGGAAUCCCGGGGUGGACUUCUGGGAAGCCUUUGAGGGAACUCACCAGCUUCAGUUUCAGCAAGCCAGGCAGCUUGGUUCCUAAAGCAUUGUAAGAAUCUCCAUUUUUUGGGUUAUAGACAGUGUAGCCUUCUGAUUCUGUGACCCAAAGAGUGAAAAGAAAUUUUCUUUCGUUGUCAGCUAUACCUGACUUAGAAUGAAUCUUGAGGUCCAAAGUGUAUUAUAGUGCAAGAUGGUGUGAAACUGAACUGCCUAGGGAGAGAUCCCAAGUAUUAUUGAUGUUAUGCUUGGUUGUAAUUAGUGUGUUGAACUGAAAUUCUCUCCUAUUCCCAUGUAUUUGGCUCCCACAGUCCGUGCUGGAAGUUGGUGAAAGCAGUUGUUUAUAUUGAUUUGUUGUACAUCAUAAUGUCUCACUGUAAUUCUGUUGGAAGCGUUAUGUAUCAGGAUGGUUGCAUUUGUCCAUUUCCUAGUGAUAUUUGUGGCUUUAAGGUUCAUAUCAGUGCCCUGGAGCCUUGUGUGGCUCUUGCACCAACUGGAGCAGCAGCUUCUGGUCUUUUGGAAUACCCAGUGACAAAUUGGGUCCAAGUGCAGUCUGAGGACCUUUUUAGUUCCCUGCCUUUCCUUCUGCUUUCUUGGGGCAGGCCAACUGUGAAAGCUCAAGGAGAUCUUACUGUCUCAAGCUUUAAUGACUCUUUAACCACUCUGAUCUGCCAGAGAGCAGCUCUGGACUCCAGUCAUGCCUGUGGUCAGCACAGUACCAAUUUGUGUACAGGAGUACAAGGCUGUGAAGAUCUGAUUUUUGAAUGUCUGCAGAGUUCAAAAUCUAACAGCAGUUUGUUGUGGAAUGCUGAAAUUCACUGAAAACAAAUGUGAAAGAAUUGGGAGUUUUACUUUCUGUUUUCCUCCUGUUGGUAACUUAGUGUUGCAAUAUUUACAUUGGAAAGUGGUCUUGAACUAAGGUAAAGCAGUGGUAACUAGGAAAACCACAUCAUUAAAUUGCAUUAAUCAAUGGGAUACAAACCCAGUGAUCUUCCUGCAGUGUUUUUGUCUAUAAAACAGGACCAUGGAGAAUAACAUUUUGGACAGUAACACUUUUUAUACAGUAACAGUUGUAACAACUUUAAAAAGCCUGUCAAGAGUGCUAUUAUGUAGCUUCCAGCAUAUUUAAGGUCAGAUGUGACCUCCAGUCUUCCCAUCAUGUGUAUAACCUGUAAUUCUUUAGAUACUUGGACUAUGCUACCUGAUUGUUGCAAAGUCGAUAUUUGGUGGCUGAAACAUGAACUCUGAUAUUCAGUUUUUAAUUUUCUGGCUUUCCAACCACUAUGUGAUGGAUGGAUGUGACAUGUAAGGAGAAGGGAGGGAAAUUGUGUCACUAAAGCUUGGGGAAAGAUGGCACUGAACUUGUAUGUGGGGCCUGCCUGGGUCACUGCUGUGGCAAAGCUUUUCUACUGAAAAUGUGAACGUGAGGAGCAGAAGUAGCCUCUCUUCCAUUGGUAUGUAUGGAAUUUACCCUUGCUUGUAAGUUGUGGCCUGGCCGUGUCAGAUCGCAGUUAAGCAUAGAAAUCAGGGUAUAAAUUGAAAUCUCAGUGUCAGCUUCGUUAUAAAUCGGGGCCUGAAUUUUAAUUGAUGGCAGAAGUUUGCUUUCUAGUGAUUUAUCAGUCUGUUAUAUGAAGGCAAAGGUUGUUGUAGUUUGUGCUUCCCCUCUUUCUAAAAUAGCUUUUCUCCCUACUUAGUUUCAUAUUUUCAUAGUUUCAUAGACAGGUCUUCUGGAGUGAAAAAUAGAGUGCUUGUUUUUGAUAAGUUCAGUGAUUAGGUUAUCAAAAGUGUCUGUAAUGCACAGUUUUCUUUCUUUUGUGCCAUCAUAGUUUUGCUACAAGUGAGACUUAAUUGUCCAGAAAUACUCUUAGUUUUGUUAGUGGAAGUUUUCUUUAUGGGAAUGAUUAUAGAAAAAGAUGACAAAGAUUUUCAGCAGCAGUUUUGUUGGUUAUACUCUUUUUGCUGUUCUUUAGAAUGUGGCAUAAUAGCAACUGCAGUUGGGAGCAGCUAAGAGUUGUGAGUUUAAACUGCCUCUAAAAACUACACACUGGCUUAAUGGAGUGAGUUUGUACUUCAGAACAAAUUUAGUCAAUUUGUUUAAGUGCUCAGAGAAGGAGAAGAGUCAAGCAGCUCUAUCUCAGUGUUCUUUCAGGUGUAAUUCAAAGAUAUGUAAAAGUUGGAUAGUCCAGGUCCAGUGCUGGGAGCCAGGAAUUUAUAUCAUAAGCUUUAACCCUGAGAGAUUACUGCUCAUCUUGGACAAGUUGUUUAAUUGUUUUAUGCCCAUAUUGUCUCUGAAAGAAGCAUCUGAAUAUCUGCUAUAGUUGAUAAUUACUGACUUUAUUUAUGCUUAAUAAUAUAAUGCUUAACCAUUCUGUGAUGCUUUGUUAAUUACCUGUGAUUUGCUUCAUGUGACCUCUUAGAGCCAAACAUGUCUGUCUCUGUUUUAGACUGAAAAUGAUGAGCAGAUAAAAUUCUGUCCUCAGCUUGUGUGUGGUAAAAGUUUGAAACAAAAUCGGCCAUUUCCCCAGUUCAGGAAUGCUUUCUGUGGUUCUAGGUUUGUUGUGUCUGUCAAAUGUAGUUUGAUACUUAUUUUUGACAGGUUUCAGUAUUGCUAAGCAGCAAUGAGGACUGAUGUUGCUUCAUCAAAGGUAGUUUGUCUUGAAUGCAUGAAAAGUGUUAUUUCUGAGUAAAGAGAAGUGAAGACAGGAAUAAGGAUGUCUAUAAAACAGUUGUUUACCACAAGCUGGGUUUUUUUGGUUGUUUUGGUUUGGGUUUGUGGUUUUUUUUUUAAAUGAGGAUUGAUGGAAUUGGAGAGGAGAAAAAACUCUCAGAGAAUAAGAGUGACUGUGAAGUUGCAGUAAUAUUGCUGAGGAAAGAUUGGAAUAUAGUUGUGGGAGGGAAGCUAAUUUGGGCUUUUGACGACUGUGAUUAUGUUCUCUAUGCUCAUGAGGUAACAUCAUUUACAAGGAGCAAGAACUAGUAAUAGGUAGUUUGAAAUAUGCUAUAGAUGGCAAAAAAAAGACCCAAGGUUUUAGUCCUGUUCAGUAUUCCUGAGUCUGCUCCUGUAUUUGAGCUCUUCAGCUCAAAUACAGAAUGUCUGUAUCCAGAGAGAAAUAGGCUACUGUGUUCUAGGAGCUGCUCUGGAUGGACUAGAGUGUGCAUUUAAAGUGUGCAGGCCCCCAAAACAAAGAGCAUUUAGCAGACAGAUAAAUAGGCAGUGGCUGUUCAGCUCCCCAGAAGUAAUUCAGUCCUCUUUCUUGUUUGGAAGCAGGGGCACUUCAGCUUGUCAGUCAGGGAUUUUUCUGUCCCUUCUGUGAGGCAUUGCUGUUCUUGGAAUCUCUGUCUUAAAUUAAAAAUCAGUUCUAAAAAAGGCUUUUGUGUUGGAAAUGCACUGCUAGAAUGAUCAAGCCAUCAGACUCCACAGCACACAUGAGUGCAGGCUAGGCUAUCAGCAGCAGUCUAGAUGGAUUACAGCUCUGAAUCAGCUUUGUGAAACUUUUUAGCUUUUCAUUUUAUAGGGGCUACCUAAAUGCUUCUCAUUUGGCUAUUUCUACUGUAGGAAUGGAGUCCUGUGGUAGCUGUAGCUUCACAGAAUGUAUUUUUAAAGAGCUAAAAUGAAGACUGAAGUUCCCAGUGGAUGCAGAGCUGAAGGAAGACUUAAAAGCUGGUGUUCCAAGCUGUACUGUCUGGGCUUUUUCCCCGCCUUCUUUCUGUUCUCCCUGACUUGCCUAUUUAGGCCACAGCUGCAUGUUUGGCAGCAUUUCUCCUUAAAGAGGUACUCCUUCACGCUCUGCUGGCAUGGCUGUUCACCUAAGGGGACAGGGAACUUGCUGGGGAAGCUGAUCCAGCUGAAAAUUGUGUGGAGAGUGAUCAAGUGGCUCAGAGGAACAGGAGGAACUGUGGAAGAAGAUUGGUCUCUUUGUGGGACUUCACAAAAAGGCAGUGCAAGGCCCUGAUUGAUCUCUGAGUGCUGUGCUACUAUGAAGAGUAACAUCAGGUGCUAAAAAGGACUUUAAACUUUUGCUGUUCAAGAUCUGUACUUUGAAUAUGUGCUAUCUGCAGGCCAGCAAUAAAAUCACUGUUACAGGAUCAGAAUUAUUUUGUGAUGGAUUUUUUUUAUAGUAUGUAUGGAGUGGGUUUUCUGCUGUGUCCACACAAGCAGUCUGUGGAAAUGGGAUUUGUUCAGUGAUGUUUCAAGCUCUGUUAGUAAAAUGAGCUUGUUAAUAUCAGUGCAGUUAGUUUCUUUGAAGUUGUUGUAGGAAAUAAUACCAGUUGAAUGGGAGGUGGGUUAUUACUGAUUGCUUUAUUGUAAAGCACUUAAAAAGGAUAAUCUGACAAAUGAUAAUCUUCUCUUGUUGUGUCUUAUCAGUCUUAAUAUGAUUUGAAAAAUUGAUCCCUUCUUUGGGGUUUCAUUGUCACCUAAAUUGAUGUAUUGUCUUGCAUUAAAUGCUGCAGAAUUAGUCUGCCUUUGUUUUAGCUGCUGUUAAAGUGUGUAUGCAAUUAAAUGUGCUCUGUGUGUGCCUCAUGGAGCAAAAACAUCAAUUACUGAUGGUACCGAGUUAAGGCUGCAGUUUGUCCUUUCAUCUGUAGGAAACACUGUGCUCCCACGAUGAUUUCAUUAUAUAAGAUGUUUUAAUUACUGCCUUAAGGGUAUUUUUCAGGCCUUUUUUCCUGUUUUCAAUGUUCUGUAGUAUGCAGCACCAUAACUGUGUACAGUAUUUUUAGUAUGGAGUGAAAAGUUUAGCAACACAAAUCAGUGUUCAGUAAUCACAUGAAACUGAGGUUUGCACUCAAAGAAGUUAUUUAAAGGAGUAAAAAGCCUUGGCUUAGGUUGGUGUUUAGGUUGUGAAUGUGAGUGGUUACCCUGUUCCAAUGAAAAUGAAAGCAGAUAAAUACAGGAAGUAUUUAUUAAUCCAAACCAAUUUGGAGUAAUCUCUUUCAAGAAGCAGUGGUCAAAAUAAUAAUGCAGGGACAGUUUUCUAGGCUUUAAACUUGAGUGGAGCACGUAUAAUUAUAGCUUUGUUAUAUUGCCACAGGUCAGUUAUGCGCUUGCAGCAUGCACCAGCUAAAUGCUGCUUUUGUAAGGUCAGUGUGUCAGUAAACUGGAAGUAGAUGGGACAUUGCCUGCUUCUUUGAAAUUAGGUACCACUAUCACGUUCUGCUACUCUGAGCUGAUAUUACUGAAAACAAUUAUUUGAGGCUUCUCUGCACGACGGUAAUCCAGUGAGAGAAACAGAAGUGGCUGGAAGCUUCUCUCUUUUCUCUCCUAACUUAUCACUCUUUGGUUAAGCACUGGAGGAGAAGCCAUUAAUUUUGUCAGCCAUUCUUUAUCAAAAUGUAUUUUCCUCUCAGUGAUCUACAAGUGAUAGCACCAUGAAGGGAACGAGCAUAUUUAGGUCACAUGCGAAGCCCCUGAGGCAGUUCUGUUUGCGUCUAAUUUUGGAAGAAAAUUUUAGGGUCAGGAAAAAGUGGGUUUAAAGGAGUUGUAUUGUAAGAAAGAUUGAUUUUCCCAAAUAUACAGAAGGUGUUUUGUGUGGAAAUGUUUUCCUUUGCGUUUUCAGUUGCAGUUCUUAAAUUAAUGCUCUUGGAAUAAUGAGAGCUCUAAACAUACACAGUUAGCACUCUGGUUUUGAGAACUUGAGAAAAGAUAAUUGCAUGAAUUCAGGAGCAGUUAAGGUAAUUGAGACUUUGUAGUAUAGUUGCUUAUUUAAAAUAUGUUAAAUACAGUGUAAUUUCUAAUAUAUUCUUAUUUGUUGACUGCCAGUAGCUGUAUGUUCCCUUUUUUUUAAUGACCA
This is a non-coding RNA of Taeniopygia guttata (zebra finch), 7313 nucleotides long. The record is from RefSeq and is a predicted model, not a curated record. NCBI's taxonomy places the organism in Eukaryota, Metazoa, Chordata, Aves, Passeriformes, Estrildidae.